RNAcentral lists this ribosomal RNA (450 nucleotides) under uncultured bacterium. RNAcentral describes it as "partial 16S ribosomal RNA". It matches the Rfam family "Bacterial small subunit ribosomal RNA", at positions 354 to 796 of the family's 1533-position model. The record is from RNAcentral.
GUGGGGAAUAUUGGACAAUGGGCGAAAGCCUGAUCCAGCCAUGCCGCGUGUGUGAAGAAGGUCUUCGGAUUGUAAAGCACUUUAAGUUGGGAGGAAGGGUAGUAACCUAAUACGUUGCUACUUUGACGUUACCGACAGAAUAAGCACCGGCUAACUUCGUGCCAGCAGCCGCGGUAAUACGAAGGGUGCAAGCGUUAAUCGGAAUUACUGGGCGUAAAGCGCGCGUAGGUGGUUCAGUAAGUUGGAAGUGAAAUCCCCGGGCUCAACCUGGGAACGGCUUUCAAAACUGCAUGACUAGAGUACGGUAGAGGGUAGUGGAAUUUCCUGUGUAGCGGUGAAAUGCGUAGAUAUAGGAAGGAACACCAGUGGCGAAGGCGACUACCUGGACUGAUACUGACACUGAGGUGCGAAAGCGUGGGGAGCAAACAGGAUUAGAAACCCGAGUAGUCC